Molecule: microRNA precursor, 198 nt
Filed under: Brachypodium distachyon (stiff brome)
Lineage: Eukaryota; Viridiplantae; Streptophyta; Magnoliopsida; Poales; Poaceae
Description: MIR1435 microRNA precursor family
Rfam family: MIR1435 microRNA precursor family
Source: Rfam by way of RNAcentral
UGGGUUUGUCCUAAUUCAAAUUUUGUCGACUUUGAUCGAGUUUGUAGAAAAAAAUACCAACAUAUCAAACAUCAAUCAAAUGCAAUUUGAAAAUAUAUUUGAUUGUAGCCCUAAGAUACUAGUUUGGUGUUGUAUAUGUUGGUGUUUUUUACACAAACUCGGUCAAAGUUGAUAAAGUUUGACUUAGGACAAACCCAA